AUGCACGCUGACAGAAUGCUUAACCCAUGCCCGUCCACUUGAACUUCGGUUUGGGUGGCGGCCGGGUGAGAACCGCGUAAAGAACUUGCCUCACAGCUAGGGACAACAUUUGGAAACGAAUGCUAAUACCUGAUAUUAUGAUUAUAUGGCAUCGUAUAAUUAUGAAAGCUAUAUGCGCUGUGAGAGAGCUUUGCGUCCCAUUAGCUAGUUGGAGAGGUAACAGCUCACCAAGGCGAUGAUGGGUAGCCGGCCUGAGAGGGUGAUCGGCCACAAGGGGACUGAGACACGGCCCUUACUCCUACGGGAGGCAGCAGUGGGGAAUAUUGGACAAUGGACCGAGAGUCUGAUCCAGCAAUUCUGUGUGCACGAUGAAGUUUUUCGGAAUGUAAAGUGCUUUCAGUUGGGAAGAAAAAAAUGACGGUACCAACAGAAGAAGUGACGGCUAAAUACGUG
Molecule: ribosomal RNA, 453 nt
Filed under: uncultured bacterium
Lineage: Bacteria
Description: partial 16S ribosomal RNA
Rfam family: Bacterial small subunit ribosomal RNA
Source: RNAcentral